This 279-nucleotide long non-coding RNA is filed under the name Carica papaya (papaya). RNAcentral describes it as "long non-coding RNA (CPAP_LNC014983)". Lineage: Eukaryota; Viridiplantae; Streptophyta; Magnoliopsida; Brassicales; Caricaceae. The record is from RNAcentral.
AGGAAUUUAAAAAUAUAAAUCUCAAUUUUGGUGUUUAAAACCCAAAUUUGUCUUACCUCCUGUCACCGCGUGGAUGUUUACUUGUAAUGUCGAUUCUCUCUCAAGUCCUCCUUAGCGAUGCUGUAACACAAUGCCAUCGGUUACUCUUUAGAUCUUCUUACUUUUUCUACCCAUCCUUCUCUCGAUCAGACUAGCUAUUUUAAGAUCUUACUUCCUCUCUAGAAUUUCAUACUUGUUCGGCUUGCUCUCUUUUGAGUCGAUCUGACUAUCACUCUCUUG